GAUGAACGCUGGCGGCGUGCCUAAUACAUGCAAGUCGAGCGAACAGACGAGGAGCUUGCUCCUCUGACGUUAGCGGCGGACGGGUGAGUAACACGUGGAUAACCUACCUAUAAGACUGGGAUGACUUCGGGAAACCGGAGCUAAUACCGGAUAAUAUAUUGAACCGCAUGGUUCAAUAGUGAAAGACGGUUUUGCUGUCACUUAUAGAUGGAUCCGCGCCGCAUUAGCUAGUUGGUAAGGUAACGGCUUACCAAGGCAACGAUGCGUAGCCGACCUGAGAGGGUGAUCGGCCACACUGGAACUGAGACACGGUCCAGUCUCCUACGGGAGGCAGCAGUAGGGAAUCUUCCGCAAUGGGCGAAAGCCUGACGGAGCAACGCCGCGUAAGUGAUGAAGGUCUUCGGAUCGUAAAACUCUGUUAUUAGGGAAGAACAAAUGUGUAAGUAACUAUGCACGUCUUGACGGUACCUAAUCAGAAAGCCACGGCUAACUACGUG
Molecule: ribosomal RNA, 497 nt
Filed under: uncultured bacterium
Lineage: Bacteria
Description: partial 16S ribosomal RNA
Rfam family: Bacterial small subunit ribosomal RNA
Source: RNAcentral